This 77-nucleotide transfer RNA is filed under the name Deltaproteobacteria bacterium. Its description in RNAcentral is "tRNA-Met". It matches the Rfam family "tRNA". From Rfam's summary of the family: Transfer RNA (tRNA) molecules are approximately 80 nucleotides in length. Their secondary structure includes four short double-helical elements and three loops (D, anti-codon, and T loops). Further hydrogen bonds mediate the characteristic L-shaped molecular structure. tRNAs have two regions of fundamental functional importance: the anti-codon, which is responsible for specific mRNA codon recognition, and the 3' end, to which the tRNAs corresponding amino acid is attached (by aminoacyl-tRNA synthetases). tRNAs cope with the degeneracy of the genetic code in two manners: having more than one tRNA (with a specific anti-codon) for a particular amino acid; and 'wobble' base-pairing, i.e. permitting non-standard base-pairing at the 3rd anti-codon position. The record is from RNAcentral. Lineage: Bacteria; Pseudomonadati; Myxococcota; Myxococcia.
GGCGGCGUAGCUCAGUCGGUUAGAGCAUGCGGCUCAUAUCCGCAGAGUCGUGGGUUCGAGUCCCUCCGCCGCCACCA